Molecule: long non-coding RNA, 816 nt
Organism: Protopterus annectens (West African lungfish)
Lineage: Eukaryota; Metazoa; Chordata; Ceratodontiformes; Protopteridae
Exons: 4
Source: RefSeq, a predicted model, not a curated record
GGAACCAUAUAACCCCCUGACCACCUGCUGGUCUUGGAUCCUGCAUCUUAUACAAAACUCCGGUCAUCUCUCCCAAAUUAAAGAAUAAAACUAUCCCACUAAGAGGAGCCUUCACCUGGAAAAGACAUAAGGAACCAUAUAACCCCCUGACCACCUGCUGGUCUUGGAUCCUGCAUCUUAUACAAAACUCCGGUCAUCUCUCCCAAAUUAAAGAAUAAAACUAUCCCACUAAGAGGAGCCUUCACCUGGAAAAGACAUAAGGAACCAUAUAACCCCCUGACCACCUGCUGGUCUUGGAUCCUGCAUCUUAUACAAAACUCCGGUCAUCUCUCCCAAAUUAAAGAAUAAAACUAUCCCACUAAGAGGAGCCUUCACCUGGAAAAGACAUAAGGAACCAUAUAACCCCCUGACCACCUGCUGGUCUUGGAUCCUGCAUCUUAUACAAAACUCCGGUCAUCUCUCCCAAAUUAAAGAAUAAAACUAUCCCACUAAGAGGAGCCUUCACCUGGAAAAGACAUAAGGAAGUAUGUCCUAGAGCUCCUGCUGAAUUUAAAUACCUACUUGUAUACUUCUUUCCCAGUGAUAUUGUAAAACCCAAAGGCAGCCUAGCCAGUAGCCUGCAACCAAACCCCCUCCCUCCUCAACCAACUGAUCACAUAAUCCCUGUAAUAUCCCUAGCAGCUUGCCCCACGCUUGAACCCCCAGGCCCUGUAAACAGCAUUGAUAGAAGUACCUGCUGUGGCUACUAGGUGGCCCCCAUCUAUUAGGGGCUUUCUCUUCCUUUUCCUCUGUAAACUGCUUACACCUAACAAAUUC